This 96-nucleotide transfer RNA is filed under the name Cellulomonas denverensis. RNAcentral describes it as "tRNA-Ala". Lineage: Bacteria; Bacillati; Actinomycetota; Actinomycetes; Micrococcales; Cellulomonadaceae. The record is from RNAcentral.
UGGUCGUAGCCGAAGGAGCCCGCGGCGCGGGAGAUCGCCCCGCCCAGGCCCUCACCGGUGGACAGCCACUCGGCGAUCAUCGCGCCGGUGACCGCC